Capsicum annuum is the source of this 1127-nucleotide long non-coding RNA. RefSeq lists it as uncharacterized. The transcript is spliced from 2 exons. The record is from RefSeq and is a predicted model, not a curated record. NCBI's taxonomy places the organism in Eukaryota, Viridiplantae, Streptophyta, Magnoliopsida, Solanales, Solanaceae.
UAAAUAUGGUAAAGGGAGGGGUCCAGGAGAAAACUUCCAAAAAAAAAAGGACCAUUUGGGCUUUCAUUUUAAAAAGGGGAGGAUAGAGAGAGGCUUCUUCUUAAAAGAAAGAGGGCACAAAAGAGAGAUAAAAAAUAUAGCUUAGAAUCCAUUUUUAUUUUGUUUUCCAUUCUUCUAUUUCUUGAAAAAUCACAUAUACCACACAAGAAAUAGAGUGAUCGAGAGAGAGAGAGUCACGGAGAGGGAGAGAGAACGCAGGUUUCAUGGGUGGUUUACUAUUUCGGUGUUAGACUCACCGAAGACACGUCGAAGUCGUCGCUAACAUGUUCGAAUUCCUCAGAACCCGUUCCAAACUUCUCACUCUCACAUUUUUUUAGCUCAGUUUUCUUUUUCUUUUCUUUUGAGGUUCUAUUGCGUAUUUGGAUGUUGGGGUUCUUCUAUUUUGUGCUCUCAUCGUUGAAAUCAGGUCAGGGUCCGACUUAUUUUGGGUUGUUUUGGUUGCUGUCCUCUCACCAGAGCGCCGUUUCAAUCGAGUUCAACUCUCAAUAGGAUUUUAAGGGUGCUUCGAUUUUGUUUGUUGUGGGAUUCAUUAUCAACAUCAUGUUUGGGAGUUUCUGAGAUCAAGUCGAGUCAAUAUGUGGUUUGGGUUUCAUAUUGCUUGUCUUUUUACUGGUUUGAAAUCUGUUCGAAAGGCUGUUUUGGGUCACUGAUCGAGUUUUCAUGACGUUGGGGUUCUCCGUUGGAGGAUUUUGGUUGUUGGAUUUCUUUAUUAUCAAUGAUGAAUACAAGUUUUAUUGAGAAGAAAAGGUUGGGGAGUGAGGAAGAAGUUAAAAAGAUGAAGCAAGCUUCAAAUUUUGGUUUUUAAAAAGCAGUAGGCUUUUAAAGUUUUACUCCUGGUGAAGAAAGCUUCAAAAGUAUAUUGGUUCCUAGAGUACUACUACUUUUAUACAAGAUAGAGUACGGACAAAAUUUUGUACCAGAGAUAAAUAAAUGCAUGCCAAUCUGAGAAGGUGGUCUAAUUUUCCAGCUUGGCAUGGUAACUGAGGGCUGGGUAUAGAUUUUCUUUUAUACUUCGCCCACCAAUAGCAAAAUGGAGUAAAUAGAGACAAGCCCAUUUCAUUUGACUA